UGUAGGGAGCUAUUCUACCAGGAUACCAUGCUGACAUUGUAGUAUGGAACCCGAAACAGAAUUUCAACUUGACAAUAACCAUGCUAUAUAUCAUAAACAUCAGAAUAUUUCAGCGUAUUUAGGAAAGCAACUUUCUGGUAAGGUCCUGUCGACUUUUGUGAGAGGAAAUCUUGUGUUUGCUGAAGACAAGCAUGCAAAUGCUGCUUGUGGUGUUCCUAUCCUCGCUAAGUAACAUACAGGUGGAUCCAGAGCUGCCAUUAUUGAUCCGUAGUGUAUACAAUCGUAUGCAUGUGCCAAUUUGUAGGUUGCUCUCUUGUAUAUAAUUGAACGCAUUCAUGUCAUUGUUAUAUAGUAGCAAUCUAUUUAUAUUGGCACACAUUUUGCCUUGAUCCCUAA
Long non-coding RNA from Zea mays, 396 nucleotides. RefSeq lists it as uncharacterized. The transcript is spliced from 3 exons. NCBI's taxonomy places the organism in Eukaryota, Viridiplantae, Streptophyta, Magnoliopsida, Poales, Poaceae. The record is from RefSeq and is a predicted model, not a curated record.